CUCCCUGUGGCUCAGUUGGUAGAGCAUGGUGUUUGCAACACCAGGGUUGUGGGUUCGAUUCCCACGGGGGGC
Non-coding RNA from Salmo salar (Atlantic salmon), 72 nucleotides. NCBI's taxonomy places the organism in Eukaryota, Metazoa, Chordata, Actinopteri, Salmoniformes, Salmonidae. The record is from Rfam.